GACAGAGGGGGCAAGCGUUGCUCGGAAUCACUGGGCGUAAAGGGCGCGUAGGCGGGAUGGCAAGUCGGUCGUGAAAUCCUUCGGCUCAACCGAAGAACGUCGGCCGAUACUGCCGUUCUUGAGGGAUGCAGAGGAGAUUGGAAUUCCCGGUGUAGCGGUGAAAUGUGUAGAGAUCGGGAGGAACACCGGUGGCGAAGGCGGGUCUCUGGGCAAUAACUGACGCUGAGGAGCGAAAGCGUGGGGAGCGAACAGG
RNAcentral lists this ribosomal RNA (253 nucleotides) under uncultured bacterium. RNAcentral's name for it is "partial 16S ribosomal RNA". It matches the Rfam family "Bacterial small subunit ribosomal RNA", at positions 524 to 776 of the family's 1533-position model. The record is from RNAcentral.